Molecule: long non-coding RNA, 485 nt
Filed under: Carica papaya (papaya)
Lineage: Eukaryota; Viridiplantae; Streptophyta; Magnoliopsida; Brassicales; Caricaceae
Description: long non-coding RNA (CPAP_LNC016414)
Source: RNAcentral
GCGCAUGGUCCGUGCGAGCACAUGUGCGUGUUUGUGGGCCGUGUGGAUCGGGCCACAUUUUAUAGUCUCUGUGGGUUGGGCUGCAUUUCGGUGCACGUGUGAGCCUCCUUACUCAGGCAUGGGCUUUCUUACACUUCUUUAAGCCCAUUAAUCAUACUUAGGCCUUAAGUCUUCUAGCUUGGACAAUCUUGGUCCAUCUCUUGGAAUAAUCCCAAUUAGGAAAGCGUUGAGGGAUGAAAUUACUUUCCUAUUCUGGGGGUCCCUGAUUGAUAGAAGACUGCAUCUUUGAAACUAAUUCUAAACUGUCUAGGGUCACAUCAAACUUUCUCUAAAAACGUGUCCUGAGGCUUGAAAACUUCAUAUAGUCUGAACCCUCAUACAUUGUAAGCCUCAUGUAAUAAGCAAUGCCCUAGGAGCAUGUGCUCUGAUACCAAUUGUGAAAACUCGUACCCUAGGUGAGGCAGGGUGUUAUUCACAUAGUUUCU